This 75-nucleotide transfer RNA is filed under the name Mollicutes bacterium. RNAcentral describes it as "tRNA-Gln". It matches the Rfam family "tRNA". From Rfam's summary of the family: Transfer RNA (tRNA) molecules are approximately 80 nucleotides in length. Their secondary structure includes four short double-helical elements and three loops (D, anti-codon, and T loops). Further hydrogen bonds mediate the characteristic L-shaped molecular structure. tRNAs have two regions of fundamental functional importance: the anti-codon, which is responsible for specific mRNA codon recognition, and the 3' end, to which the tRNAs corresponding amino acid is attached (by aminoacyl-tRNA synthetases). tRNAs cope with the degeneracy of the genetic code in two manners: having more than one tRNA (with a specific anti-codon) for a particular amino acid; and 'wobble' base-pairing, i.e. permitting non-standard base-pairing at the 3rd anti-codon position. Lineage: Bacteria; Bacillati; Mycoplasmatota; Mollicutes. The record is from RNAcentral. RNAcentral also lists the same sequence under 10 other names.
UGCCUCGUAGCCAAGUGGUAAGGCAUCAGACUUUGACUCUGACAUGCGUUAGUUCGAAUCUAACCGAGGCAGCCA